GCUGGGGAGCAGCAGAAAAUACACCCAACAGUUGUUUCAGAAAGGCUGUGACCUGGGUUGGGUCCGGGACUACAUAGGGCUGCCCUGACGCGCACCUGUUAUGACGGGUGUACCUGAACUCUUCCUUUCUGGCGUCGUCUUAAGGCCCCGCGACCUGGACAGCGGAGGCUUCUGGGAGUUUGAGUCCUGCUUGUUUCCGGGAAUGCUAGUACUCCACCUCCCAGCGUGCCAUUUUAUGCGACGUGGUGUCUCCUGGGAGAUGAAGUUUCACCAUAAGCGAUUUUGUGGAGCAGCCCCUUGAUUCGGAAAUACAACUUUCUUGUGGUCCUGUGUUCUUGGCUGCCAGCCUUUGCAUCAAUCUGCUGUGAGCUGCUUUGAAGCUCAGCAAAGAAGGGAAUCCAUUGAGAGUCGUCUGCAAAGGUACCCAGGACCACCUGCCUGCCUAGACCCUGUGUAAGAGCUGUGUGCAUCCUGCCACUGAGGAAGCAAUCAUCGGACAGGGCAUCCUGAACUGUGUGCUUCCACCUGACCACUCGCUGCAAGAUGAUCAGGCAAGGUGCCGACAGCUCAG
Hipposideros armiger (great roundleaf bat) is the source of this 571-nucleotide long non-coding RNA. RefSeq lists it as uncharacterized. The record is from RefSeq and is a predicted model, not a curated record. Lineage: Eukaryota; Metazoa; Chordata; Mammalia; Chiroptera; Hipposideridae. The transcript is spliced from 4 exons.